This 494-nucleotide ribosomal RNA is filed under the name Puia sp. Its description in RNAcentral is "partial 23S ribosomal RNA". It matches the Rfam family "Bacterial large subunit ribosomal RNA", at positions 1 to 552 of the family's 2925-position model. The record is from RNAcentral. Lineage: Bacteria; Pseudomonadati; Bacteroidota; Chitinophagia; Chitinophagales; Chitinophagaceae.
GAUCAAGCGUCAUAAGGGCAUCUGGUGGAUGCCUUGGCACUGAGAGGCGAUGAAGGACGUAGCACGCUGCGAAAAUUCACGGGGAGCCGCGAGCAGGCAUUGAUCCGUGAGUAUCCGAAUGGGGAAACCCCACCGUAAGGUGAUCCUGCACUGAAUCCAUAGGUGUGGGAGGCGAACCCGGGGAACUGAAACAUCUAAGUACCCGGAGGAAAGGACAUCAACCGAGACUCCGCUAGUAGUGGCGAGCGAACGCGGACCAGGCCAGUGAUUAACUCUACAUAACCGGAAGUGUCUGGAAAGGCACGCCAGAGUGGGUGAUAGCCCCGUAUGGGUAAACCGGAGUUGAUCCACGAGUAGGGCGGGACACGUGAAAUCCUGUCUGAACAUGGGGGGACCACCCUCCAAGCCUAAGUACUCCUCAGUGACCGAUAGUGAACCAGUACCGUGAGGGAAAGGUGAAAAGCACCCCGACGAGGGGAGUGAAACAGCACCUG